Molecule: non-coding RNA, 29 nt
Filed under: Mus musculus (house mouse)
Lineage: Eukaryota; Metazoa; Chordata; Mammalia; Rodentia; Muridae
Source: RNAcentral
CUCCACAUUCAGCAAGUCACAUGAUCUCC